AAGUCGUAACAAGGUUUCCGUAGGUGAACCUGCGGAAGGAUCAUUAUACGUUUAUCCAACGUACCAACCAACGCGCUCUCGUUUAAAACACAACCGAGUCUGUGCGCGAGCUUUCUUAGGCCAUCCAAAAUAUGGUGGGAGUCGCAAGGCUCUGUUUGGGUGGUCGAUCACGAACUCGCACAUAGCAACCAUUUUUUUUUAACUUUACAACGCAUUGUAAUCACUUGUACUAAUACGAAAAACAUCUGAUUCAUUUCAGGUGGAAUUAAGACAUUAAUUGCUGAACAACUCUUAGCAACGGAUAUCUUGGUUCUC
RNAcentral lists this unclassified non-coding RNA (315 nucleotides) under fungal sp. RNAcentral's name for it is "partial internal transcribed spacer region". The stretch from base 1 to 46 matches the Rfam family "Eukaryotic small subunit ribosomal RNA", at positions 1786 to 1831 of the family's 1831-position model. The record is from RNAcentral. Lineage: Eukaryota; Fungi.